Molecule: unclassified non-coding RNA, 537 nt
Filed under: Pleurostoma richardsiae
Lineage: Eukaryota; Fungi; Ascomycota; Sordariomycetes; Calosphaeriales; Pleurostomataceae
Description: sequence contains 18S rRNA gene, ITS1, 5.8S rRNA gene, ITS2, 28S rRNA gene
Rfam family: 5.8S ribosomal RNA (bases 174-327)
Source: RNAcentral
GAUCAUUACCGAGUUGCAGAACUCCCAAACCCACGCGUACCUACCUACACGUUGCUUCGGCGGUGCCGCCGCGGGGGGUGCCCAGCUGCUGGGCCCCCCCCGGGGCGCCCGCCGGAGGCCACUAAAACUCUUCUGUAUCUCGCGUACCAUCUGAGCGAAUGGCGAAUAAUAAAAACUUUCAACAACGGAUCUCUUGGUUCUGGCAUCGAUGAAGAACGCGGCGAAAUGCGAUACGUAAUGUGAAUUGCAGAAUUCAGUGAAUCAUCGAAUCUUUGAACGCACAUUGCGCCCGCCAGCAUUCUGGCGGGCAUGCCUGUUCGAGCGUCAUUUCAACCCUCAGGCCCUGCCUGGCGUUGGGGCGCCGCGGCGGCGAGAGCCCCGCGGGCCCUGAAAUACAGUGGCGAGCCCGCCUGGACUCCGAGCGUAGUAGCAACACUCGCUCAGGGCGUCCCGGCGCGCGUCGGCCGUAAAACACCCCAACUCACCAAAGGUUGACCUCGGAUCAGGUAGGAAUACCCGCUGAACUUAAGCAUAUCA